AACGCACAUUGCGCCCUUUGGUAUUCCGAAGGGCAUGCCUGUUCGAGCGUCAUUAUCACCCCUCAAGCCCCGUGCUUGGUGUUGGACGGCCUGGCUGGGCGCACUGCUCGGCCCCUCCUAAAGACAAUGACGGCGGUCUGUGGAACCCCCGGUACACUGAGCUUCUUUACCGAGCACGUACCGGAUAAGGGCGCCCGGGCGGCGGUCUUGAAACCCCCAUUUCUCAAGGUUGACCUCGGAUCAGGUAGGGAUACGCGCUGAACUUAA
This 267-nucleotide unclassified non-coding RNA is filed under the name uncultured fungus. RNAcentral describes it as "partial contains 5.8S ribosomal RNA, internal transcribed spacer 2, and large subunit ribosomal RNA". The stretch from base 1 to 52 matches the Rfam family "5.8S ribosomal RNA", at positions 103 to 154 of the family's 154-position model. Lineage: Eukaryota; Fungi. The record is from RNAcentral.